UACGGGGGGGGCAAGCGUUGUUCGGAAUUACUGGGCGUAAAGGGCUCGUAGGCGGCCAACUAAGUCAGACGUGAAAUCCCUCGGCUUAACCGGGGAACUGCGUCUGAUACUGGAUGGCUUGAGAUUGGGAGAGGGAUGCGGAAUUCCAGGUGUAGCGGUGAAAUGCGUAGAUAUCGGGAGGAACACCUGUGGCGAAAGCGGCGCACUGGACCAUAACUGACGCUGAGGCGCGAAAGCUAGGGGAGCAAACAGG
Molecule: ribosomal RNA, 253 nt
Filed under: uncultured bacterium
Lineage: Bacteria
Description: partial 16S ribosomal RNA
Rfam family: Bacterial small subunit ribosomal RNA
Source: RNAcentral